Molecule: ribosomal RNA, 460 nt
Filed under: uncultured bacterium
Lineage: Bacteria
Description: partial 16S ribosomal RNA
Rfam family: Bacterial small subunit ribosomal RNA
Source: RNAcentral
CCUACGGGAGGCAGCAGUGAGGAAUAUUGGUCAAUGGACGAGAGUCUGAACCAGCCAAGUAGCGUGAAGGAUGACUGCCCUAUGGGUUGUAAACUUCUUUUAUAUGGGAAUAAAACGUUCCACGUGUGGGAUUUUGUAUGUACCAUAUGAAUAAGGAUCGGCUAACUCCGUGCCAGCAGCCGCGGUAAUACGGAGGAUCCGAGCGUUAUCCGGAUUUAUUGGGUUUAAAGGGAGCGUAGGUGGAUUGUUAAGUCAGUUGUGAAAGUUUGCGGCUCAACCGUAAAAUUGCAGUUGAAACUGGCAGUCUUGAGUACAGUAGAGGUGGGCGGAAUUCGUGGUGUAGCGGUGAAAUGCUUAGAUAUCACGAAGAACUACGAUUGCGAAGGCAGUUCACUGGACUGCAACUGACACUGAGGCUCGAAAGUGUGGGUAUCAAACAGGAUUAGAUACCCCUGUAGUC